This 836-nucleotide ribosomal RNA is filed under the name uncultured Pseudoalteromonas sp. RNAcentral's name for it is "bacterial SSU rRNA". It matches the Rfam family "Bacterial small subunit ribosomal RNA", at positions 38 to 870 of the family's 1533-position model. Lineage: Bacteria; Pseudomonadati; Pseudomonadota; Gammaproteobacteria; Alteromonadales; Pseudoalteromonadaceae. The record is from RNAcentral.
GGCGGCAGGCCUAACACAUGCAAGUCGAGCGGUAACAGAAAGUAGCUUGCUACUUUGCUGACGAGCGGCGGACGGGUGAGUAAUGCUUGGGAACAUGCCUUGAGGUGGGGGACAACAGUUGGAAACGACUGCUAAUACCGCAUAAUGUCUACGGACCAAAGGGGGCUUCGGCUCUCGCCUUUAGAUUGGCCCAAGUGGGAUUAGCUAGUUGGUGAGGUAAUGGCUCACCAAGGCGACGAUCCCUAGCUGGUUUGAGAGGAUGAUCAGCCACACUGGGACUGAGACACGGCCCAGACUCCUACGGGAGGCAGCAGUGGGGAAUAUUGCACAAUGGGCGCAAGCCUGAUGCAGCCAUGCCGCGUGUGUGAAGAAGGCCUUCGGGUUGUAAAGCACUUUCAGUCAGGAGGAAAGCGUGGUGGUUAAUACCCAUCAUGUGUGACGUUACUGACAGAAGAAGCACCGGCUAACUCCGUGCCAGCAGCCGCGGUAAUACGGAGGGUGCGAGCGUUAAUCGGAAUUACUGGGCGUAAAGCGUACGCAGGCGGUUUGUUAAGCGAGAUGUGAAAGCCCCGGGCUCAACCUGGGAACUGCAUUUCGAACUGGCAAACUAGAGUGUGAUAGAGGGUGGUAGAAUUUCAGGUGUAGCGGUGAAAUGCGUAGAGAUCUGAAGGAAUACCGAUGGCGAAGGCAGCCACCUGGGUCAACACUGACGCUCAUGUACGAAAGCGUGGGGAGCAAACGGGAUUAGAUACCCCGGUAGUCCACGCCGUAAACGAUGUCUACUAGAAGCUCGGAGCCUCGGUUCUGUUUUUCAAAGCUAACGCAUUAAGUAGACC